Long non-coding RNA from Malania oleifera, 597 nucleotides. RefSeq lists it as uncharacterized. NCBI's taxonomy places the organism in Eukaryota, Viridiplantae, Streptophyta, Magnoliopsida, Santalales, Ximeniaceae. The record is from RefSeq and is a predicted model, not a curated record. The transcript has 4 exons.
GCAAUCUCUCCCUCAUUUCCCUCCUUUCCCUAAUCCCUCUCUUUGUCGCAGCGCCAGCUUCUCACCCUUGCCCAUCGCCGUUCGCUCCUCCUACUGCUGCCGCUGCCAUUGUCGUAAAGCUCCUCCCAGCCAAUGUUGAGCAGGGCAGAGCAAAGAAGAGGAAGUUGCUUGAUUGCUAAAACAGAGGUUUUGCGUGAUGGACGAUAGAAUCAUAGCAAGGAGUUACAUCUAGUACUCUCCUUCCGGAGUCCAUGACUUUCCUCACAGGUCUUCUUCUCUCCCUACAGAUCGAGAGAGGGGCCCCUGAUAGGAGAGCGGGUAAAGUUCCGCUGAUUUAGUACUGUUGAUCUGCCCUCUCUAAAGGGAGCCUGUGAUAGGAGAGCGGGUAAAGCUCCGCUGAUUUAGUACUGUUGAUCUGCCCUCUUUGAAGGGUAAGUUUUGGUAGGGACGGUUGAAUUUUGUGGAAAAUGUCCCUAGGUCUUGCUUUUGGGAUGUAUAUACUUAAAUACCGUAGAUAUAGUAACUCUGGUAUUGUGAAGGAUGAUUUUGUAUUUAUGAUAUUAUGAUUGUAUGUUUCUUGCUGCUUAGGCUUCCGUU